This is a long non-coding RNA of Cotesia glomerata, 151 nucleotides long. RefSeq lists it as uncharacterized. NCBI's taxonomy places the organism in Eukaryota, Metazoa, Arthropoda, Insecta, Hymenoptera, Braconidae. The transcript is spliced from 3 exons. The record is from RefSeq and is a predicted model, not a curated record.
AUUUUUUCUGUGUAUUACAUAAAAAUCCAACGCGCUUUGCGCACUUCUGUCAAAAUGUUUAUUAUCGACAAUUUAAUUAAUCACUAGUUUUACAAAUUUUACUCAUUAAUAUUUAAUCAUUGCCAUGGUAACCGUUGCUAUGAUAACCAUU